RNAcentral lists this ribosomal RNA (279 nucleotides) under uncultured bacterium. RNAcentral's name for it is "partial 16S ribosomal RNA". It matches the Rfam family "Bacterial small subunit ribosomal RNA", at positions 506 to 784 of the family's 1533-position model. The record is from RNAcentral.
UGCCAGCAGCCGCGGUAAUACAGAGAGUGCAAGCGUUAAUCGGAAUUACUGGGCGUAAAGCGUGCGUAGGCGGAUGUUUAAGUCGGAUGUGAAAGCCCCGGGCUCAACCUGGGAAUUGCAUUCGAUACUGGGCAUCUGGAGUAUGGUAGAGGGAAGUGGAAUUUCCGGUGUAGCGGUGAAAUGCGUAGAUAUCGGAAGAAACACCAGUGGCGAAGGCGGCUUCCUGGACCAAUACUGACGCUGAGGCACGAAAGCGUGGGGAGCAAACAGGAUUAGAUA